RNAcentral lists this ribosomal RNA (301 nucleotides) under uncultured bacterium. Its description in RNAcentral is "partial 16S ribosomal RNA". It matches the Rfam family "Bacterial small subunit ribosomal RNA", at positions 509 to 807 of the family's 1533-position model. The record is from RNAcentral.
CAGCCGCCACGGGAAUACGUAGGUGGCAAGCGUUAUCCGGAAUUAUUGGGCGUAAAGCGCGCGCAGGCGGUUUCUUAAGUCUGAUGUGAAAGCCCACGGCUCAACCGUGGAGGGUCAUUGGAAACUGGGGAACUUGAGUGCAGAAGAGAAAAGCGGAAUUCCACGUGUAGCGGUGAAAUGCGUAGAGAUGUGGAGGAACACCAGUGGCGAAGGCGGCUUUUUGGUCUGUAACUGACGCUGAGGCGCGAAAGCGUGGGGAGCAAACAGGAUUAGAUACCCCCGUAGUCCCUGUCUCUUAUAC